This 554-nucleotide ribosomal RNA is filed under the name uncultured Clostridium sp. RNAcentral describes it as "bacterial SSU rRNA". It matches the Rfam family "Bacterial small subunit ribosomal RNA", at positions 573 to 1124 of the family's 1533-position model. The record is from RNAcentral. Lineage: Bacteria; Bacillati; Bacillota; Clostridia; Eubacteriales; Clostridiaceae.
AGGCGGGAACGCAAGUUGGAUGUGAAAUAACCACGCUUAACGUGGUGGCUGCAUUCAAAACUGUGUUUCUUGAGUGGGGCAGAGGCAGGCGGAAUUCCCGGUGUAGCGGUGAAAUGCGUAGAGAUCGGGAGGAACACCAGUGGCGAAGGCGGUCUGCUGGGCCUUUACUGACGCUGAGGCACGAAAGCAUGGGUAGCAAACAGGAUUAGAUACCCUGGUAGUCCAUGCCGUAAACGAUGAUUGCUAGGUGUGGGUGGACUGACCCCAUCCGUGCCGGAGUUAACACAAUAAGCAAUCCACCUGGGGAGUACGGCCGCAAGGUUGAAACUCAAAGGAAUUGACGGGGGCCCGCACAAGCAGUGGAGUAUGUGGUUUAAUUCGAAGCAACGCGAAGAACCUUACCAGGUCUUGACAUCCAAUGAAUCCUUCAGAGAUGAGGGAGUGCCUUUCGGGGAACAUUGAGACAGGUGGUGCAUGGUUGUCGUCAGCUCGUGUCGUGAGAUGUUGGGUUAAGUCCCGCAACGAGCGCAACCCUUGUCAAUAGUUGCUACGCA